CACUAUCGUUAACUGAAUACAUAGGUUAACGAGGCGAACCGGGGGAACUGAAACAUCUAAGUACCCCGAGGAAAAGAAAUCAACCGAGAUUCCCCCAGUAGCGGCGAGCGAACGGGGAGCAGCCCAGAGUCUGAAUCAGCUUGUGUGUUAGUGGAACGGUCUGGAAAGUCCGACGGUACAGGGUGAUAGUCCCGUACACCAAAAUGCACAGGCUGUGAACUCGAAGAGUAGGGCGGGACACGUGGUAUCCUGUCUGAAUAUGGGGGGACCAUCCUCCAAGGCUAAAUACUCCUGACUGACCGAUAGUGAACCAGUACCGUGAGGGAAAGGCGAAAAGAACCCCGGCGAGGGGAGUGAAAAAGAACCUGAAACCGUGUACGUACAAGCAGUGGGAGCACCUUCGGGUGUGACUGCGUACCUUUUGUAUAAUGGGUCAGCGACUUAUAUUCUGUAGCAAGGUUAACCGUAUAGGGGAGCCGCAGGGAAACCGAGUCUUAACUGGGCGUUAAGUUGCAGGGUAUAGACCCGAAACCCGGUGAUCUAGCCAUGGGCAGGUUGAAGGUUGGGUAACACUAACUGGAGGACCGAACCGACUAAUGUUGAAAAAUUAGCGGAUGACUUGUGGCUGGGGGUGAAAGGCCAAUCAAACCGGGAGAUAGCUGGUUCUCCCCGAAAGCUAUUUAGGUAGCGCCUCGUGAAUUCAUCUUCGGGGGUAGAGCACUGUUUCGGCUAGGGGGUCAUCCCGACUUACCAACCCGAUGCAAACUACGAAUACCGAAGAAUGUUAUCACGGGAGACACACGGCGGGUGCUAACGUCCGUCGUGAAGAGGGAAACAACCCAGACCGCCAGCUAAGGUCCCAAAGUCAUGGUUAAGUGGGAAACGAUGUGGGAAGGCACAGACAGCCAGGAUGUUGGCUUAGAAGCAGCCAUCAUUUAAAGAAAGCGUAAUAGCUCACUGGUCGAGUCGGCCUGCGCGGAAGAUGUAACGGGGCUAAACCAUGCACCGAAGCUGCGGCAGCGACACUAUGUGUUGUUGGGUAGGGGAGCGUUCUGUAAGCCUGCGAAGGUGUGCUGUGAGGCAUGCUGGAGGUAUCAGAAGUGCGAAUGCUGACAUAAGUAACGAUAAAGCGGGUGAAAAGCCCGCUCGCCGGAAGACCAAGGGUUCCUGUCCAACGUUAAUCGGGGCAGGGUGAGUCGACCCCUAAGGCGAGGCCGAAAGGCGUAGUCGAUGGGAAACAGGUUAAUAUUCCUGUACUUGGUGUUACUGCGAAGGGGGGACGGAGAAGGCUAUGUUAGCCGGGCGACGGUUGUCCCGGUUUAAGCAUGUAGGCUGGUUAUCCAGGCAAAUCCGGAUAAUCAAGGCUGAGGUGUGAUGACGAGGCACUACGGUGCUGAAGUAACAAAUGCCCUGCUUCCAGGAAAAGCCUCUAAGCAUCAGGUAACAUCAAAUCGUACCCCAAACCGACACAGGUGGUCAGGUAGAGAAUACCAAGGCGCUUGAGAGAACUCGGGUGAAGGAACUAGGCAAAAUGGUGCCGUAACUUCGGGAGAAGGCACGCUGGUGUGUAGGUGAAGUCCCUGCGGAUGGAGCUGAGACCAGUCGAAGAUACCAGCUGGCUGCAACUGUUUAUUAAAAACACAGCACUGUGCAAACACGAAAGUGGACGUAUACGGUGUGACGCCUGCCCGGUGCCGGAAGGUUAAUUGAUGGGGUUAUCCGUAAGGAGAAGCUCUUGAUCGAAGCCCCGGUAAACGGCGGCCGUAACUAUAACGGUCCUAAGGUAGCGAAAUUCCUUGUCGGGUAAGUUCCGACCUGCACGAAUGGCGUAAUGAUGGCCAGGCUGUCUCCACCCGAGACUCAGUGAAAUUGAACUCGCUGUGAAGAUGCAGUGUACCCGCGGCAAGACGGAAAGACCCCGUGAACCUUUACUAUAGCUUGACACUGAACAUUGAGCCUUGAUGUGUAGGAUAGGUGGGAGGCUUUGAAGCGUGGACGCCAGUCUGCGUGGAGCCAACCUUGAAAUACCACCCUUUAAUGUUUGAUGUUCUAACGUUGGCCCCUUACCGGGGUUGCGGACAGUGUCUGGUGGGUAGUUUGACUGGGGCGGUCUCCUCCCAAAGCGUAACGGAGGAGCACGAAGGUUAGCUAAUCCUGGUCGGACAUCAGGAGGUUAGUGCAAUGGCAUAAGCUAGCUUGACUGCGAGCGUGACGGCGCGAGCAGGUGCGAAAGCAGGUCAUAGUGAUCCGGUGGUUCUGAAUGGAAGGGCCAUCGCUCAACGGAUAAAAGGUACUCCGGGGAUAACAGGCUGAUACCGCCCAAGAGUUCAUAUCGACGGCGGUGUUUGGCACCUCGAUGUCGGCUCAUCACAUCCUGGGGCUGAAGUAGGUCCCAAGGGUAUGGCUGUUCGCCAUUUAAAGUGGUACGCGAGCUGGGUUUAGAACGUCGUGAGACAGUUCGGUCCCUAUCUGCCGUGGGCGCUGGAGAAUUGAGGGGGGCUGCUCCUAGUACGAGAGGACCGGAGUGGACGCAUCACUGGUGUUCGGGUUGUCAUGCCAAUGGCACUGCCCGGUAGCUAAAUGCGGAAGAGAUAAGUGCUGAAAGCAUCUAAGCACGAAACUUGCCCCGAGAUGAGUUCUCCCUGAGACUUUAAGUCUCCUGAAGGAACGUU
This 2672-nucleotide ribosomal RNA is filed under the name Klebsiella pneumoniae. RNAcentral's name for it is "partial 23S ribosomal RNA". It matches the Rfam family "Bacterial large subunit ribosomal RNA". Lineage: Bacteria; Pseudomonadati; Pseudomonadota; Gammaproteobacteria; Enterobacterales; Enterobacteriaceae. The record is from RNAcentral.